Molecule: ribosomal RNA, 301 nt
Filed under: uncultured bacterium
Lineage: Bacteria
Description: partial 16S ribosomal RNA
Rfam family: Bacterial small subunit ribosomal RNA
Source: RNAcentral
CAGUAGCCACGGUAAAACAGAGGGUGCGAGCGUUAAUCGGAUUUACUGGGCGUAAAGCGUGCGUAGGCGGCUUUUUAAGUCGGAUGUGAAAUCCCUGAGCUUAACUUAGGAAUUGCAUUCGAUACUGGGAAGCUAGAGUAUGGGAGAGGAUGGUAGAAUUCCAGGUGUAGCGGUGAAAUGCGUAGAGAUCUGGAGGAAUACCGAUGGCGAAGGCAGCCAUCUGGCCUAAUACUGACGCUGAGGUAUGAAAGCAUGGGGAGCAAACAGGAUUAGAUACCCGAGUAGUCCCUGUCUCUUAUAC